CCAUGAGAGAGAGCUAAGAUGGAAACAAGCCUGCUCUGCCCAUGUGAAGCAUCUCUUCUCUGAGAGAUGAUUAAAAGCUAAUUAAUAGAAAUGAGCCUAAAGAAGUAACAUCAUGCAAAUAAAAAUGGCUGUACAAUAUCUGUCAUCUGCUCCCCACAUUCUGGAGUCCUGCAUUUUAUUCUAAAGAUACCGUCGCCGAGGUUCGCAAGGCACUGAGAUCAACAGGGCUGAAAAGUGCAAAUCUGGUGGCUGCAGAAGGGACUCAGCACUACAGCAAAGCCAGCAUCUCUGUAACAAGCGUCACUGGGCUUAAAUAGCAUGUGAAAGAUUGAAGGAGAUGCUUCUGCAAGCUCACAUGCACAAAGAGCCUUUCUAGAUAUUCAUCUGUUAACUCACUGGCACGUAAAUUUGUAGGACGGUUGCAACAACAGAAGAAAUGAUGAUAAAAAUCCAGAGAUGGGGACAACUAACGGUACCAGGUAACCUAAUUUCCCUCCCUGACAGCACGGGGAGUUGAUAAAUAGUCACAGAAUCAGAGAUAAAAUCAGAUUAUUGGAUCCAUUUUAAAUUCCCUUGGUUUACCUACGAUAAUUGCCUCCAUUUCCUUGACAAGCAAGGCUGGAAUGAAGCAGCAUCCAAGGACUCCACUGCUGUUUUCAGGGAAAAGUGCUAAAAGGCCCGCCCAGCACCUUUCCCUAGAAUUUAUAUUUACCCUGUUUAGACCACACAACAGGUUGCUCAGAGCACAAGGGAACACUAAACUGCCAAAUGUUUACUACACACACAGUGGCACUCCCCCACAGCCUCACGCCCUUCCCUGUGAAAAACAAGGGCUCCUGCCACUGCUUGGUUAUGAAUGCAUCCUGUGCCUUCCCAAACAGAACUGAAACAACUUCCAAGUCACCCACUAUCCCCUUCAUCAGUCCGAACUGACCCCUUAAUGUGAAAAUGUCACCAUCCUCAAACUACAGAACUGUCCUGAUGCAAACUCCAAGGUCAAGGGGUCACAUUUCUGAGAUGCAAGCACAACUCCACAAACAGAAAAGAAGGAGCAUUUAGCCAACAGCAAAGUCAAUUAUUCCAUUAAAUGAGGUGUAAAAUGCUAAUUUCUACCAAAACCACACAAUUUUCAGAACUGAAAAAUCCCAGUCAAAGCCCCACUAAACUAAGCCAAGCUGUGUACACAUCCCAAGAAGGAAUUUACAAAGCUGACUCUGGAGUUAUCGUUUCAAACACCAUCUAGCCUUUUGUUGUUGUUGUUGUUGUUUUUAAAAAACCAGUUAUUUAUUUAGCCAACAGAAUUCACCUUGGGCUAUGCUUACUAGAAAACACCAUUAUCUUUAAUCUUUCAUGUAUAUCAUUAUGAGAACAGAACAGGAAACAACUCACUUAAGGAGGCAACUGCAUGAGGUUUAUUCCUGAACAGUGGAGCACUUCAAAUCUGUCAUGAGGGGGGGAUACUGUGCAUUUUUGAGAGCUUGGUUUUUUUGGGAUUUCAGGUAACUACAUAUGAGUAAUAACACUUCUUUCUAAAAGUAUAGCAGUGUUGACUUUGCAAUCAAAUGGAACCACCAAGCGACUGAGCAAUCUAAGCCACAUGGGAAAGCUAAAAAUUUCCCAAAACAUUUCCUCUAAAACCAUCUGCUAACAUAUAUUUUAAAAGAAUUAAAAGAAAAGAAAUAUAGGCAUGGCAAGAGGUAUUAAAAAGACCAGCAACAUGCAGGAACCAAUGCAGAAGCACUGGAAAGAAGAUCUGGGGAGAAAACUAGUUAUUUCAGCAACCCAGCUGGACACUUACAGGGGAGAUGAGUAAUGCCACUAGUAACUCAAAGGGACAUGCAAAUUUAAUCCCACAUUGUAAUGCAGAGCUCAGAUGGCUGCAUUUGAGGAUGGGUCAGGAGUUGAGCCAUAAAUCUGUGCUCCCAAGCAGGCUGCCACACUCGCUCUUUGUCUCAGUCAUUUCCUGGAAAACAGCUCUGUGAGCUCUGGAGUGGCAGGGAAAUGCCCCCUCCACCCUCCUGCCACAGUGAGAGGUGUCUGUCCCGCAGCAGAGCCACUCCCAGCACCUACAGGUGACCCCCUUUUGAGGGAAUUCUGAGAAGAUGAAAAUGGGGGGGGGGGGGGGGGGCACUUCAAAGCACUCACCAGGACUUCCCACACCUCCCAUGCCAGAGUGGCACUGAGCCCAUCACCCUUCCCGGGGCCAUCUCCAGACCCCCUGACCUCCACACCAGUGACACCACAUUCCCAGAGGAACUGGCUAAAAGAAGAGGAACCAUAUGAAAACACAUAAUUUUCACCUUUUUUAAAAUCUCCUGCCACCUGCCAACUUCCAAGGGGUCACACCAGGAGGCACAGGACUAAUUUCAAGGCAAUAAAAACUUGGAAAACCAAACUACCACUACCUAUGAGUAGGUACCUUAGUUCUGAUUUUGUCACAUAGCCAAAGACGCACCAAGUUCUAAGAACCUAAUGUAGUCCCCAAAAACUUUGGAAGAUGCUCUUCAGAUCAGUGACCUACCUUGGAACAUUAUCGAAAUGGAAACUCUACUUACAUGCUUUUAUUCCACUAACUGACAGCAAGAAAACCCAGUUCCAGCAGGACAGCACACACAAAGCACUCAUUUGAGCGCCAAGUGUCUCACAGGGCCUGGGAUCAGAGAGUAAUCACUUUGCUACGGUGCCUGUUUGGGGCAACAACAAAACCCAUUUUCCUCAGCCAUAUAACUUUAAGGACAAGUGCCUGCCCCCUUACAGCUCCCUCCCAAAACACAUUGAGGCAGGCAGUUAAUUUGGUAACAAAAUAUAUUUAGAAGGCUACAGUGAAAUAUUAAUUAUACACAUGUUUUAAGACCAAAGGUUACUUAAGUACUAGACAAAUACAAGGUACUGAGGGGUGCUUCAAGGUUUCUCUCUCCUAUAAAAAAAUUCACUUAGAAUUCUAAUCCAAAAUUCAUUUUCUCUUAAAAACAAGACAGGCUCUAUCUCAGAUUUCUAUGCAAGCAAUUUAUGAUACCCAAAAGGAAAAAAUAAAAAUAGCUAACAGCCUAGCAGAGCUUUUAUCACCUUUUUUAAAUCUGCUAGUUCCAAACCAGAUGCAUUCAGUAUAUAAUUCUGAUUAGGAAAAAAAUAGCUGUUGAAUUUUUAUUACUACAUCCCUUAAGGACCAAAAGCGGUAACCUUAGGCACUUAAUGUGUUCCAUGAAUAACAAUACAUAUGAGCACACAAAAAGCUUGUUAUCUCUGUUUAUGGAUUUUUUUUUUAACACGUUGAUACAUUUAUGGAAAGAAGUUGGGAAGUAUGGUGAGAGGGAGGAGAGGAAGCUAUCAAAAUAACAAGUUACAUUAAACAAAACCUACUUGGAAAGGAACAAGCUAUGCAGUAUGAAAUUUGCAUGAACUGUGUCUCCCCGUUACGGUCCUACAGCUCCCAUGAAAUCUGUGCAGCCUCAUUUAAUGCUUAUACUAAAAGCCUUCACCUAUACACAUCUGUCCCAGAAAUACAAAUGCAAUUUCUAUUUAAGCCUGAGAAAAAAAUCACUUGUUGGGGGAACAUGCUGCGUACACAGACUUUCUUAUUUUAUAAACAGUGUGAAACACACAGGAGUCCUUCACGAUGGUUCAGAACAGCUCACUGGAUGCAAAGAAGCAUCUUCUCCCCACUCCCUCACAUCUGUAACCACCUGACCCACCAGGCAAAGGGCUGCCACCACACACCACCCUGCCACAGGAUGAGUUUCUGCCCUGCGUUGUAUCACAGCUCCCUUCCCACAGCUAGAAAAAAAACCCCAUACAAACUGCAGCUAAGCAACACAGAGCUUUCUCCUUCAGAAAUCAGCUUACAACCUCUCCAAAAAAUGUGGGAAAGCCGUCAGAAUAAAAAUUUACAAACCAGCCAUUUGUGGUGCUGGCAUGGUUUCCUUCUGGUAUUUAGCUCAUUCCAAGAAAAAAAAAAUUAAAAUAGUUUCUCCAAUAGAAUCCUUCCCAUAUUUUCAGCUCUGAGAAUUCACAAGGACUCAAGCUGAGUUACACUGACUCUGGAGCCAGCAGAUUCUAAGAGUACAAAAAUCACCCCAGAAAAUAAUGGAGCAGGGGAGCUGAGGGAAGUCCAUACAUCCCUCAGCUCUCAAACUCGACUGAAAAAAGGAAAAUGAGCAUACAGCCAGAGCACACCAUGUUUUUGCUCUCCUCGUGGCAUCCUGCUCCAAUUUAUUCUAAAUGGAUUCAGAGCCCAGAAAGAGGACAAAAAUGUGAAUUAGUUUUUGUUCCUCCUUUUAGCACGGAAGAACUGAUAAAGACUUAGAAUCUGCUGUCAAAGGCUCUGGUCCUUUACCAAAUCCUUUGCUGUCUUCUCCCACUGACACCUGCCUAUGUCCCUUGGCUGCUGCCUUGAGAAACCAGAUGCAACAGCGAGCAUGAUUCUUCUUUCUCCUUUGAUCAUGGCUGCAGGAUUCUGUCUCCAGCCAUUGAUUUCCUCCUCCUUUUCCAGGCUCAAGGAAGAGGACAAACAGAGACUCUGGCAGCCGUCGAAUGUUUAGUAGCUGGAAGAGUGGGCCAUGCCCUUGGAGAAGAUCAGGAGACACAGGAGCCUGACCCACAGUUCAGAGGAAAGGAAUUCACAGCAGAGCAUCCCACCAGCACAGCCGCAUUUCUGGAGCCCAAACCCGAGCUCAGCUGUGUCAUUUACCCCACGAGGUCCCAGCUGUCAACCUGGCCUGGUAUCCUGACCGCCUAGGGCACAAAUGCCCUCAGCCAGCUGCUUGGCUCAGGGUACAAUUCUCUCUUUUUAAAUGAGAUUAGCGUUGGUGAAAUGUGCUAGCUCAAUGGGCAUGCUGAUCUAAGUCCUCUGUUUAUUUGGGCUGCAGCAGAUACAACGAUCACUUUAAAAAAAAAAAAAGACACCAUUUAAAAAAAUGCCAUGAAUUCGCCUGAGCUCCUGCAGUUGCUCAUUCAUCACAGAAUGAGGAGGGUUUCUUACAGAUCUGCUGAGAACUGAGGACUGGAAAGGAUGAAUCUUGAAACUGUGGUAAGUAUAUAAACUUAGCCACCUACCUCCUUGAGACUAAUGUGAAGAAUCUACUUGCCAACAAAAAACCCAACAGAGUAUUCUGCCUUCCUAUCCAUUUCAGUCAUCAGGCACCUCUGCUGCCACCAAGAUUAUUAAAAAAGAAAAGAAGCGGGGGGAGGGAUAUUUUAAAUAUCGGGGGGGGGGGGGUGUGGUACAAGGGAGCCAAUAACACCGAGGUGCUGCCAUAAGUAUGAAUAAAUAAAAAUGUGGUUUGGUUAUGCUUAAAAAAAAAAAAAAAGGAAAGGCUAUGAAGUUAAAGUUGAAACAGCUGAAGUCCCAUGUUCAUUGUAAGGAUGUCAAACGUUAUUGCCAUGAAUAAGCAAUUCUUUGUUUAGAAUGCCUUUUUAAGCAGAAAGAUGAAGAUUUGAGUCAGUGUGUUUCACAGACAGUUUCCUCGGCGCAGAGCUACCAAACCGAGAGAGCACAACCAGCUCCCCGGCUAGGAAGCGACCAACGCGCCGCGGUGCGCCGUGUCGAUGAUGCGCGGAGCAGGUCUCUAACUGCACACAGCGGGGCCAUUAUCGUGUGCUGUCACCGUGGGCCACUAAAAGGGAAUAUCCUGUCUUACUAAGUCUGCGUGCAAAGCAUCAGUCUAGAAGAAGCUCCUUCAUCCCUUGGCAGAGCAUUGAAAGUGAAAAUGAGGACUUCCAUCCUUACCUGGAGCUGACCUUGGCUAUUUGACAGUUAUGAAUAAAAACACCAGCUUCUCUCUUGUGUAUCCCUGGAAUACCUGGACAUUUUCUUAAGAUUUCUCUUUUUGUCUGCCCUGAAGCAAAAGCAGCCAGAACUCGGCCUCUUCUCCAGUGCUGGCAGAAGUUACCCAUUGUCAUGGUUGGCCUGUGAGAGUUUGCAUAAGAAACAGGGGCAGGAGAGCAAAUCCCAGCUUUUCUGGUCUGCAGCAAUCCCCCAACGGGACAGACACGGGCUCCUGGCUGACAUGGGAACGUCUGGCUGCAUGCUGUGUGGUGUGUUCUGGGCUGGGUCAGUCACUGGUCAGCCUGGCACCUGCAAGGACCUGCCAGGCCCUGGACCUUGUCUCUGACAGCAAUCACAGGUGGCACAUGGACCUCUUGCCUGGGGUGCUCCUACUCUUGUUGCCCCAGCUGCAGACUCUGGAUUUUUUUGUAUCAGCCAUAAGAGCCCUGCAGCAAGAGUGUUCACAUCCUUUCAGCAGAGACCACUCCACUUUGGAAACAGGUUUGAGAAAACUCCAUUUUCCCCUGAGGCUUGCUUUCCCUUGUAUGCAUCUCAGGUCGAGUUCCAGAGGAAAGGAAACAUUAACCUAAGUCUUGUGCAGCUAUUUGAGCAGAAAGGGAAUUCUGGUUGUCCUCAGCAUAUGGAGAGUGGGAUGGGGAAAGCUCAGGUGUGAGCCAGCUGAUGGAGCAUGGGCAACAUUGGUGCUGCUGAGGGACAUCAAGGUGUGGAAUGUGAUAGUCCAAGGGACAAUGUGAAAAGCACCACAGAGGCUAUGGGAACACCAAGAGCUCUUUAGUAAAUAGCCAUGCUCAAGGUAAAAUUAGUACACAAUCACAUCAUGUACAUAUCGUAAUCAUAUCAUGUACAUAGUGAAAGGAAUUUGAGGUACACUGCAUGGAUUUUGAUCCAAUGUGUUUUCUCUCUAUAUGGUGUCUAGUUUUCCUUCUCCUCCUCUAAACAAUGGCUCCUCUUCUUGUCUUCUUCCUCUUUCUCAAAGGACAAGAUUGAUUUUUAAA
Motacilla alba alba is the source of this 6780-nucleotide long non-coding RNA. RefSeq lists it as uncharacterized. The record is from RefSeq and is a predicted model, not a curated record. The transcript has 4 exons. NCBI's taxonomy places the organism in Eukaryota, Metazoa, Chordata, Aves, Passeriformes, Motacillidae.